Molecule: long non-coding RNA, 754 nt
Filed under: Rattus norvegicus (Norway rat)
Lineage: Eukaryota; Metazoa; Chordata; Mammalia; Rodentia; Muridae
Description: long non-coding RNA NONRATT028468
Source: RNAcentral
GGACAGGUGGGUGCUAGAAACUGAGUGUGGAUCUUUGCAAGAGCAGCAAGUGCUCUUAACUGCUUAGUUAUCUCACCAGCCCCUUUCAUUGUGAGCUUGAAGUUGAAAUUACUCAAAAGAAGAACCACACCUUUAAUUCUAACACUUAGGAGGCAGAGGCAGGCAUUGGAUUGCUGAGGUUAAGGCCAGUCUGGUCUACAGAAUGAGUUCCAGAACAGCCAGGGCUACACGGAGAAACCCUGUCUCAAAAACUUAAAAAAAGUGUAGUAUAUGUUUCAGUGUGUCUGUGUCCGCAGGAAUGUGGUAUGUGCAAACUGGCUGGCCAGGGAGCUUAGGAAUUUGCCUUUCUCUGCCCCUGCCCAGCACUAGGUUACUUUGAUGUAAGUGUUGGGUGUCUGGACUCAGAUCCUUGUGCUUGUAGAGCAAGCACUGACCAAGCCGUCCCCAUAACCCCUGUUCGGCUAUUCCCAAGCACAUUCCCUCUCGUUUGCUUCUGUCAGUCCAUGAAUAAAGGGAAUGGGUGCUCUCAGGGACUUUAGAUGGCUGCCAGAGAAGGGUUUCUGAACUUCAGCCUCUUCCAGGAUGAAGCCUCCUAAACUAUCCAGGUGACUAUGUCUAACUCCAUCUAUGCUCAGCAGGAUCUUCCUCAACUACUCCUUCUGACUUGGCUCUUCUGUUUUGUAAUUGGUAAACAAGGCCCUGACUUUCAUUCCCAGCUUUGCUAAAACUAUUAAAAAAAAAAAAAAAACAAAAA